This 482-nucleotide ribosomal RNA is filed under the name uncultured bacterium. RNAcentral's name for it is "partial 16S ribosomal RNA". It matches the Rfam family "Bacterial small subunit ribosomal RNA", at positions 29 to 507 of the family's 1533-position model. The record is from RNAcentral.
AUUGAACGCUGGCGGCAUGCCUUACACAUGCAAGUCGAACGGUAACGGGCCUUCGGGUGCCGGCGGGUGGCGGACGGGCGGGUAAUACAUCGGACCGUACCCGACCGUGGGGGAGAACGAGGCGAAAGAAUUGCUAAUUACUCCCACAAACUACCGACGAAAGCAGGGGGCCGACCGGCCUUCCUCGGCCGGAGCGGCCGAUGGCUGAUUAGGUAGUUGGUGGGAUAAAGGCUUACCAAGCCGACGAUCUGUAGCUGGUCUGAGAGGAUGAUCAGCCACACUGGGACUGAGACACGGCCCAGACUCCUACGGGAGGCAGCAGUGGGGAAUUUUGGACAAUGGGCGCAAGCCUGAUCCAGCAAUGCCGCGUGUAGGAAGAAGGCCUUCGGGUUGUAAACUGCUUUUGUACGGAACGAAAAGCCUUCUUCUAAUACGGGCGGGGCAUGACGGUACCGGAAGAAUAAGCACCGGCUAACUACGUG